Molecule: ribosomal RNA, 879 nt
Filed under: Proiectus granularpro
Lineage: Eukaryota; Metazoa; Arthropoda; Arachnida; Trombidiformes; Eriophyidae
Description: partial large subunit ribosomal RNA
Rfam family: Eukaryotic large subunit ribosomal RNA
Source: RNAcentral
AAAUAGAACUUUGCAGAGAGAGUUAACAGGGCGUGAAACCGUCAAUUGGCAAACGAAUCGGAGCCACGAAGUCGUUUCGUUGAUCUAGCCAUGAGCUGAGUUCAGUUUGUGAGUAACAACUCAUAGGCGUAUUCUCGUGCUUGGCCAGUCAUUGUAAGCGUACACUGCAACCAGUUAGACAAUUGAUUAUGGGCCCAGUUGGUUAAAUUAGUAGUAGCGCGGCAUAGUUUCGGCUGUGUUCGUGUUGCUGGGUUUAGUUGAGUGAACUAUGAUCAAAUACUGACUGGCAAAAUGAAAAUCGCCCUCCAGCGGCGUUAUACACAAAGCAGCAGCUUAUACAAAUGCUUACACACUUGACCAUUAGGUUUAAGCUCGGCAUUUUUGAAUUUAGACUUGCUUGAUACCAGUGGGGCAACUCCUGGUUCUUGUAUAGCUUCUAUCUAAUCGGGUGUCGACUUGAUUUGGUGUAGUUUGGGUGUGCAUCGAUCGAGUGUUUGUAUAUUGUUGUUUGCCACUUGAAUUGGCAGUGAGUAGGUCGGCUUUCCGAACGACCCGUCUUGAAACACGGACCAAGGAGUCUAAUUAGGCAUCAAGUCGAUCGGUCUUGAAUAGGCCAGACUAGUAGGAAGCUUCUUAUUGAAGGCGUAGAGACAUGUGAUCGUGUGGGCAAUACCAGCCUGCAUGCGCAACAUGUGCCUGUUCGUAUAGCAAUGAAGUAAUAUUUGCUGGGCGGAGCAAAGAGAUGCUUGAUUGGUACCCGAAAGAUGGUGAUGCCUGGGCAAAUUGAAGCCAGAGGAAACUCUGGUGGAGGAUUGCGAUUCUGACGUGCAAAUCGAUCGUCAAACCUGGGUAUAGGGGCGAAAGACUAAUCGAACCAUC